GAAGUAGCCAAGCGGUAAGGCAACGGACUUUGACUCCGUCAUUCGUGGGUUCGAUCCCCGCCUUC
Molecule: transfer RNA, 65 nt
Filed under: uncultured Ruminococcus sp.
Lineage: Bacteria; Bacillati; Bacillota; Clostridia; Eubacteriales; Oscillospiraceae
Rfam family: tRNA
About the family: Transfer RNA (tRNA) molecules are approximately 80 nucleotides in length. Their secondary structure includes four short double-helical elements and three loops (D, anti-codon, and T loops).
Source: RNAcentral